UUCGGGAAGGUGCCCUAGCGGCGAACGGGUGAGUAACACGUGGGCAACCUGCCCCUAGCACUGGGAUAACUCCGGGAAACCGGGGCUAAUACCGGAUACGACCUCAGAAGGCAUCUUCCGAGGUGGAAAAAUUUAUUGGCUAGGGAUGGGCCCGCGGCCUAUCAGCUUGUUGGUGAGGUAACGGCCCACCAAGGCUUCGACGGGUAGCCGGCCUGAGAGGGCGACCGGCCACACUGGGACUGAGACACGGCCCAG
This 255-nucleotide ribosomal RNA is filed under the name uncultured bacterium. Its description in RNAcentral is "partial 16S ribosomal RNA". It matches the Rfam family "Bacterial small subunit ribosomal RNA", at positions 78 to 334 of the family's 1533-position model. The record is from RNAcentral.